AGUGAACGCUGGCGGUAGGCCUAACACAUGCAAGUCGAACGGCAGCACAGGAGAGCUUGCUCUCUGGGUGGCGAGUGGCGGACGGAUGAGGAAUACAUCGGAAUCUACUCUGUCGUGGGGGAUAACGUAGGGAAACUUACGCUAAUACCGCAUACGACCUACGGGUGAAAGCAGGGGACCUUCCGGCCUUUCGCGAUUGAAUGAGCCGAUGUCGGAUUAGCUAGUUGGCGGAGUAAAGGCCCACCAAGGCCACGAUCCGUAGCUGGGCUGAGAGGAUGAUCAGCCACACUGGAACUGAGACACGGUCCAGACUCCUACGGGAGGCAGAAGUGGGGAAUAUUGGACAAUGGGCGCAAGCCUGAUCCAGCCAUACCGCGUGGGUGAAGAAGGCCUUCGGGUUGUAAAGCCCUUUUGUUGGGAAAGAAAUCCAGCUGGCUAAUACCCGGUUGGGAUGACGGUACCCAAAGAAUAAGCACCGGCUAACUUCGUGCCAGCCGCCGCAGUAA
RNAcentral lists this ribosomal RNA (506 nucleotides) under uncultured bacterium. RNAcentral describes it as "partial 16S ribosomal RNA". It matches the Rfam family "Bacterial small subunit ribosomal RNA", at positions 29 to 523 of the family's 1533-position model. The record is from RNAcentral.